Molecule: ribosomal RNA, 213 nt
Filed under: uncultured bacterium
Lineage: Bacteria
Description: partial 16S ribosomal RNA
Rfam family: Bacterial small subunit ribosomal RNA
Source: RNAcentral
AACGAACGCUGGCGGCAGGCUUAACACAUGCAAGUCGAGCGCCUCGCAAGAGGAGCGGCAGACGGGUGAGUAACGCGUGGGAAUCUACCCAUCCUUACGGAACAACUCCGGGAAACUGGAGCUAAUACCGUAUACGCCCUUAGGGGGAAAGAUUUAUCGAGGAUGGAUGAGCCCGCGUUGGAUUAGCUAGUUGGUGGGGUAAAGGCCUACCAA